RNAcentral lists this small RNA (372 nucleotides) under Histoplasma ohiense. RNAcentral describes it as "hypothetical lncRNA". Lineage: Eukaryota; Fungi; Ascomycota; Eurotiomycetes; Onygenales; Ajellomycetaceae. The record is from RNAcentral.
UAGGCUCUGUGUGCGACAAAGUUUCCUCAAGAAGCCCUGGGAAAUUAUCAUGGUCAAUCUGCUCCAUCAGCUCACGCAAGCCCUUAUCCAUAUCAACCUGAAUUUCACCCAUUGAAACAGUAACUGGUUGCUCUUGUUGCAUUGUUGCCGCCACUCUACUGGCCAAGGCAUCAGGCGUGCUAUGAAAUGGCAUGCUCUGCCCUGAAGAAGUGGAGGUUAAAGGAUCCACAGUCCCCUCCAUCUUCUCCUCCUUGGCGCUGUCCCAACCAGCAAAAAAUUGCUCUAAGAGGUCGUCGAAUGAUUCGGGAGGUAAAAGAAGAUUGUUGGCAUCCCUCGUCAUUCCCUUCACGUUAGGAGCCAUGCCCAUACCAU